Molecule: ribosomal RNA, 1002 nt
Filed under: Halomonas sp.
Lineage: Bacteria; Pseudomonadati; Pseudomonadota; Gammaproteobacteria; Oceanospirillales; Halomonadaceae
Description: bacterial SSU rRNA
Rfam family: Bacterial small subunit ribosomal RNA
Source: RNAcentral
GCCUAGCGGUUAAUACCCGCUAGGAAAGACAUCACUCGCAGAAGAAGCACCGGCUAACUCCGUGCCAGCAGCCGCGGUAAUACGGAGGGUGCAAGCGUUAAUCGGAAUUACUGGGCGUAAAGCGCGCGUAGGUGGCUUGAUAAGCCGGUUGUGAAAGCCCCGGGCUCAACCUGGGAACGGCAUCCGGAACUGUCAAGCUAGAGUGCAGGAGAGGAAGGUAGAAUUCCCGGUGUAGCGGUGAAAUGCGUAGAGAUCGGGAGGAAUACCAGUGGCGAAGGCGGCCUUCUGGACUGACACUGACACUGAGGUGCGAAAGCGUGGGUAGCAAACAGGAUUAGAUACCCUGGUAGUCCACGCCGUAAACGAUGUCGACCAGCCGUUGGGUGCCUAGCGCACUUUGUGGCGAAGUUAACGCGAUAAGUCGACCGCCUGGGGAGUACGGCCGCAAGGUUAAAACUCAAAUGAAUUGACGGGGGCCCGCACAAGCGGUGGAGCAUGUGGUUUAAUUCGAUGCAACGCGAAGAACCUUACCUACUCUUGACAUCCUGCGAAUUUGGUAGAGAUACCUUAGUGCCUUCGGGAACGCAGAGACAGGUGCUGCAUGGCUGUCGUCAGCUCGUGUUGUGAAAUGUUGGGUUAAGUCCCGUAACGAGCGCAACCCUUGUCCUUAUUUGCCAGCGCGUAAUGGCGGGAACUCUAAGGAGACUGCCGGUGACAAACCGGAGGAAGGUGGGGACGACGUCAAGUCAUCAUGGCCCUUACGAGUAGGGCUACACACGUGCUACAAUGGUCGGUACAAAGGGUUGCCAACUCGCGAGAGUGAGCCAAUCCCGAAAAGCCGAUCUCAGUCCGGAUCGGAGUCUGCAACUCGACUCCGUGAAGUCGGAAUCGCUAGUAAUCGUGGAUCAGAAUGCCACGGUGAAUACGUUCCCGGGCCUUGUACACACCGCCCGUCACACCAUGGGAGUGGACUGCACCAGAAGUGGUUAGCCUAACGCAAGA